UACGUAGGGUGCAAGCGUUGUCCGGAAUUAUUGGGCGUAAAGAGCUCGUAGGCGGUUCGUCGCGUCGGCUGUGAAAUCCCGAGGCUCAACCUCGGGUCUGCAGUCGAUACGGGCGGACUGGAGUACUGCAGGGGAGACUGGAAUUCCUGGUGUAGCGGUGAAAUGCGCAGAUAUCAGGAGGAACACCGGUGGCGAAGGCGGGUCUCUGGGCAGUUACUGACGCUGAGGAGCGAAAGCGUGGGGAGCAAACAGG
This 253-nucleotide ribosomal RNA is filed under the name uncultured bacterium. Its description in RNAcentral is "partial 16S ribosomal RNA". It matches the Rfam family "Bacterial small subunit ribosomal RNA", at positions 524 to 776 of the family's 1533-position model. The record is from RNAcentral.